RNAcentral lists this non-coding RNA (196 nucleotides) under Marinovum algicola. Lineage: Bacteria; Pseudomonadati; Pseudomonadota; Alphaproteobacteria; Rhodobacterales; Roseobacteraceae. The record is from RNAcentral.
UUAGACGAAGCCUGUCUUGGUUCGGGCCUCGCAAGGGGUUCGUGAAAAGGGAACGCGGUGCAAAGCCGCGACUGCCCCCGCAACUGUGAGCGGCGAGCACCUUCGGAAACUGCCACUGUGGCCGCCGGCCGCGGGAAGGCCCGGCGGAUGCAACGACCCGCGAAGUCAGGAGACCUGCCAGGAGCUCACCCUAUCC